AGACCUUCAUAAAACAACAAGAAGGAAGAUGCUGUACUCCUUCCCGCAGUCUCAGCUGUCCCAGCCCCAUCCCGAAGAGCAUCCACCGCGGAUCCUGUGGGCUCCACAACAGCAGGUGGCUGCCUUCAGCAUGGGUGAGUGGGGUGCAGAGGGCCAGGGUCCCAUGGUUUAUGGAGGCCACCUGCUAAGUCCCUCCAUUGCCUCCUGCCUGUGGACCGCAGCAUCACCUCCUCUAAGGAGAAUACAGUGACAAACUGAGGCCCGUCUAGUUCCUGGAUCACCUUUUCUGGGGGCUCAGUCUAGGCGUUCUCAGAGGUACAGCUUUCCCGGGUUUCAAUUAUGUGGGAAUAACAAUAGCUGUCCUAGAUCAAGCCCUAACCCCCACCCCAAACCCAGAAUGGACCCAUCAAUGUCAGAGCUGCGGCCGAUGUGCUCAACUCCACCUAGGUGGUUCUCACCCUUACCCUAUCUCUGGGAGGGAGGUGGCAUCAGGCUCGGGUUACAAAAGAGAGAUGGAGGGCCCCGAAAAGUUAGGUGGCUG
RNAcentral lists this long non-coding RNA (541 nucleotides) under Homo sapiens (human). RNAcentral describes it as "HSALNT0240272". Lineage: Eukaryota; Metazoa; Chordata; Mammalia; Primates; Hominidae. The record is from RNAcentral.